Syngnathoides biaculeatus (alligator pipefish) is the source of this 1598-nucleotide long non-coding RNA. RefSeq lists it as uncharacterized. The transcript has 3 exons. Lineage: Eukaryota; Metazoa; Chordata; Actinopteri; Syngnathiformes; Syngnathidae. The record is from RefSeq and is a predicted model, not a curated record.
CAUUUAACCUGACAAUUAAGACAUUAUAUGAACUAAUAGCAUAAACGUAUGGAAAUUAUAGUAAUUAACCCGAGCUACCAGUUGAUCGCAACCAAAGCACACAAUCAACAGGGAUUGUUUUCUUCUUCUUCACAUAAAUCAUGACUUUAAAGUGGAUAAAGAGUUAUGUCCUGUGUGUCUUCCAAAAACAUGGACGUCUUAAAACACCUGUUGCAAAUGUGUUACGGUUGCUUGAACCAGCGGCAGGACAAGGGGACACACUAGGCUCCUUCAACAAUGCAGAGUGAACAGUAAGUCGGCCAAAUAAUUUGGGGAUUUUUGAAUGACAUGCAGCAACGUAGUAGUCACACUUUAAAAUCGUUGAGAGAGUUGACUUUGGUGGGAAUUUUUUUUCUCUCAAAACUGGGUUCUUGCAGUUAAUAUCGCUUUGCUUUUGAGCAGUUAUGUGGCAUCUUUGAAUUAUUAAUUUUUAUGCACGAGUCGUUUGCACGUGGUGGGGGGGUGAUAAAUCGCAAUCUGUGGUUACUUUGAGAGUGGAUCUUUGAUACAAGCAUGUGAAAUGAAUAUUGAUUAAAGUGUGAAGUACAUUGGUUAUAUUAAAAAAACAUUUGCACAUGUGUUGUCCAUAUUUAAAACGACAUUUUUGUUAUCCAACUCAUUAGGAUGUACGCACUCUUGUCUGCCCUCCUGGCAGCGUUGACAAAAAAACUGCGCAACCUCAAUUUGGAGUUCAACCAUCAUUGGGGGCAGGAAUACAUACCUUACAAUUUUUUCACAUUUGUUGAUUAUUUUAGCACUGCUAACAUUUUAUUUUGGCAGGUUUCUACUUCCUGUGUUUUUUCUCAUUAAUCGUGGCUUCAAAGACAUCUCAGCCAGAGCAGGUAUUGAUCAGCGUUUGCAGACAAAGGACUUGAUUUUUAUCGUCUGCACUGUGAAUUUGAGUCACAUCUGUGGGCUGGGUGAUAAGAAGGAGCGCCGACCGAGUGGCAAAACAACUUUUCCUGUGGUUCCUCCCAGAAGUGUCAUCCAGCCAUCCAUUUACUGAGCCGCUUAUCCUCACGUGGGUCGGACAAGAGGCAGGGUACAUCCUGGACUGGCUGACAGCCAAUCGCAGGGCAAAUGGAGACAGACAACAGCCACACUAACAAUCACAUCUAUCCAUCCGUUUUCUUUUGCCGCUUAUCCUCAAGAAGGUCGCGGGGAGUGCUGGAGCCUAUCCCAGCUGUCAUCGGGCAGGAGGCAGGGUACACCCUGGACUGACUGACAGCCAAUCGCAGGCCACUUAGAGACAAACAGAUGCACUCACAAUCACACCUAGGGGCAAUUUAGGGUGUCCAAUUAAUGUUGCAUGUUUCUGGGAUGUGGGAGGAAACCGGAGAACCCGGAGAAAACCCACGCAGGCAAGGAGAACUCCAGGGAGGCAGGGCCAGGAUUAGAACCCCGGUCCUAAGAACUGUGAGGCCAACGCUCUACACCCCACCGUAAUGUGGAGCAUCGACAUGUGCGGCCUUUUAGGGAAUGACAUACUCACAAAUGUACUUUUUCAAACUGCGACACACCUCGUCGUACCACUUGCCGUGCGCCGCCACCGAAAGAGC